UGACUUUUUAAUGUUCAUUUGAUUUUAUUUCAGGGCUGAAUAUGACAUGUAUUAUUGGCCCUAUUUGUGUUAAUCGCACAAAUUAGGUGCAGCCAUUCUGUUAUGUGAAUUGAUAGGGACUUGAGGAAACUAAAUUAAGAACAAAUGUUUUAGAUGUGGUUUCUAGAUGGAGACAGAGGAUGAAGCAAUUUUUUUGUCCAUUAUCUCUUACAUUUUUAAUUGGUUAACAUUUUAUAAGUAUUCCAAAAGUGUUUAAUCUCUUGGAAAAUGGCUGCUGAUUUUUGUCUGAUCAAAUAUGGCCUUUCAAACGUAUGUUGAGUGUUUAUGUACUUAGUGUGUCCAAGCCCUUUUAAUUCAGUGCUGUCUUUUAACACACUAGAACAAUAAUGUGUUGGUAAUGAUUUGUAGUCACUAUCUGGACUGGAUCCAAGAGAAUCAGGGAAAGUGUGUCACGUUUUAAAAGGCCUUGGCACAAGUUUGAAAGGUAUCUACGUUUGGUAUGCUUUGAAAUGGUGCCCCCAUGCCAAAGCGUGGAUUUCUCAUAGGAACCCUUCUAAAAAAAAGAGGUAGUGUACAUAGGAGGCUUCAGGAAUGGGGCCCUGCUGCCAUGCUCUGUCAAUCAUCCAGUGAAAUCAUCAAAUGGAUUCCACCAAUUCUCUCAUUGGUUUAAAUCACAAAAUGAUUGACAGGACACAAAAUAAAUUAAGCUAAGUUCUGCCAUUACUACCUUUUUGAUACUAGAUUGUUGGCGAUCCUGCAAUGCCAUACUUACCUGCUUGUUGACGCAAGCUACCCUACAAUCUAAUUUAGCAGGAGAGCGUUUGUACAGGUUAGGCAUUUCCUCUUAACGCAGUUCUCGUUGUUUUUCAGAACCCUGGUUUAAGAAUCGUAGAGUGUAUGUAGGAACUGGCUCUUUUUGCUGUUUUUAACCAUGUUAUAUGAAUGUUUACAUUUUUUGGGGUCAAGUGUACUGUAUUUGAAGUUUUUCCAUCUGCUGUUAAAUUAUUACAACGAAUGACGGGAAACGGCAGGAUUCCAACAGAAGCCCUGAAGGAUAAAUAAAUUGGAAUAUUUUUGGGUUGUAUAUUUUGACAUGGAAGCAGUCUUGUUGUAUUGCUGAUUCGCCUAUGCUAUUCACACACACCGUAACUAAUCUAAACGGCAGUUGGCAACGAUUUAAAAAGUGACUUUUUGGGGGGUAGAACAGCAGACUUGAUAGAAUGACAGUGGUUUGGUGAGAGAUUUGAAGAUGGUUUUGCUCUGAACUUUGUGUACUCUCAUUGGCACAUUGUUUUCUUCUGCAACUAUGGAAUUAACAACCAAAAUGCUUCCACUCUUGGUUAUUUCAAAUACGCUGUAAUAUCAGGAUGAACUGUCAUACUCUGUCAGGUAAUGUUAGAAACGCGUGUUUCACUGUUUGCUUUGGCGAGGGGAAUAUUGACAGAGUUAAAAUACUAAUUUAGCACCAACUAAUACUUGAACAACUGGAAUGAGAUGGGAUAGCGCAAGGUCAAAUAUAAAACGCAUCUACUUUUAUUACCCAACAUUUGUUUACUUAAUUAGUACUUGAAACGUGUGUUUCUUGAGGAUAUAAUCAAAUAAGUAAUUCAAUUCACAAUAGAUUUCCCAGAUCUUGAUAUUGUCAAAAAUGUGGUCCCUUUAUUGGAAAUACUGCAUCAUCAUACUAGACAUUUUUACUGAAUAACUACAUGUUAUAUUUGUCAGAUGUUUUUAUGGUCUAGCUUGCUAGAGAAUUUGUCUGAUUCUUACAGUAUGGCAAAGCUGACCAAGAUUGUGAACAUAACCAUUCUGCAUUUCUACUGUUCAAUGUUACACAAAAAAACACUGGUUCUGAAUGCACCCAAAUUCGUGUACAUUUUUUACGUCACUGAAUUGUAUUCAUUUAGUUUUUUUUUUAAAUUCAACUUCAUUAACACUUAAUAAUAAUGGGGGUGAAGUAUGAGGUGCACCCGGUAUACAACCAGCUGAUGAUACUUUCUCACAUUUUUCCUGAUACUGUAUAUGGAAAAAGGGGACAUCUGUAAUGUUGAUUUCGCACAUGGGUGGUCAAUUGUAAUUCAUAUAGAUAAUUCACAUUGUUUUGUUCGGUCUUUACCUUGGUGGCCCUCGAAUGACUUCAUUUCAUAUUUCCCAAACUGGUUUCUGGUGAAAGUUGGUGUGAAAUCUAUUGCUUUAUACGGUCUAACAGCAUUUGAAAUAAAUGAAUGGCAGAAGACUAAUA
Molecule: long non-coding RNA, 2242 nt
Filed under: Salmo salar (Atlantic salmon)
Lineage: Eukaryota; Metazoa; Chordata; Actinopteri; Salmoniformes; Salmonidae
Description: lncRNA (ENSSSAG00000095669.1)
Source: RNAcentral